UCAAAAUUAUAAUUUAGAGAAAAUUUGGAUGUUUUCUACUUAUUAUGGUGUGGCUUUUCUAAAGUUAAUACUUUCCUCACAUAGUAAUGUAUUGAUUGAUUUUCAUGUUAACACCCUUUUUUAUUUUUCAAGAUCUCAGUAUGAGAAGAGACUAAUUCCUAAGUGGCAUCUUACUGUCAUUUUAGGGUUGAACCAAAAGCUUUUCUUUUCUUUUGUUCAACUUUAGAAAGUACUCUUUUGAACUUUUAAUUCAUUCUUGAGGCAUCUAAGACCAGGAACUUAAUAUAUUAACAAGCAAAAAUAGUAUAAAUAUGUAAAAAAUUGUUGACUAAGAUAAUUUUCUAAGUGUCAGUGAAAAAUAAUGAAAUUGUGUGUUGUUUUGAAUUAUAAGUGUUGAUUUGAGUAUUCCUGUGUUAACUUUUUUAUUAGUACUAUUUAUGCUGUUUGGGAACUUUUAAAAUAAGACUUCUUAGUGCAAAUCCACAUUUUCGUUUUCUAAAUUUAGAGCUACCUUAAUAGCCUC
Molecule: long non-coding RNA, 523 nt
Filed under: Bos taurus (domestic cattle)
Lineage: Eukaryota; Metazoa; Chordata; Mammalia; Artiodactyla; Bovidae
Description: long non-coding RNA NONBTAT022590
Source: RNAcentral